GAGGUGGCUCAAUGGUUAAGAGCACUGGCUGCUCUUCCAGAGGACCUGGGUUUAAUUCCCAACCCUCA
RNAcentral lists this transfer RNA (68 nucleotides) under Mus musculus (house mouse). It matches the Rfam family "tRNA". Rfam says of the family: Transfer RNA (tRNA) molecules are approximately 80 nucleotides in length. Their secondary structure includes four short double-helical elements and three loops (D, anti-codon, and T loops). Lineage: Eukaryota; Metazoa; Chordata; Mammalia; Rodentia; Muridae. The record is from Rfam by way of RNAcentral.